UGAGCAAUCUGCCCUUCUCUUUGGAAUAAGCGUUGGAAACGACGUCUAAUGCCGAAUACGACCUCCUUUCGCAUGAUCGGAGGUGGAAAGCUCCGGCGGAGAAGGAUGAGCUCGCGGCCUAUCAGCUAGUUGGUGUGGGUAAUGGCCCACCAAGGCGACGACGGGUAGCCGGCCUGAGAGGGUGACCGGCCACACGUGGGACUGAGACACGGCCCAGACCUCCCGUACGGGGAGNAGCG
RNAcentral lists this ribosomal RNA (239 nucleotides) under uncultured bacterium. Its description in RNAcentral is "partial 16S ribosomal RNA". It matches the Rfam family "Bacterial small subunit ribosomal RNA", at positions 118 to 353 of the family's 1533-position model. The record is from RNAcentral.